GCGGUGGAGCAUGUGGUUUAAUUCGAAGCAACGCGCAGAACCUUACCAGCGUUUGACAUGUCCGGACGAUUUCCAGAGAUGGAUCUCUUCCCUUCGGGGACUGGAACACAGGUGCUGCAUGGCUGUCGUCAGCUCGUGUCGUGAGAUGUUGGGUUAAGUCCCGCAACGAGCGCAACCCUCGACCUUAGUUGCCAUCAUUCAGUUGGGCACUUUAAGGUAACCGCCGGUGAUAAGCCGGAGGAAGGUGGGGAUGACGUCAAGUCCUCAUGGCCCUUACGCGCUGGGCUACACACGUGCUACAAUGGCGGUGACAGUGGGCAGCAAACUCGCGAGAGUGAGCUAAUCUCCAAAAGCCGUCUCAGUUCGGAUUGUUCUCUGCAACUCGAGAGCAUGAAGGCGGAAUCGCUAGUAAUCGCGGAUCAGCAUGCCGCGGUGAAUACGUUCCCAGGCCUUGUACACACCGCCCGUCACACCAUGGGAGUUGGGUUCACCCGAAGGCGUUGCGCUAACUCGUAAGAGGGGCAGGCGACCACGGUGGGCUUAGCGACUGGGGUGAAGUCGUAACAAGGUAGCCGUAGGGGAACCUGCGGCUGGAUCACCUCCUU
This 605-nucleotide ribosomal RNA is filed under the name uncultured bacterium. RNAcentral's name for it is "bacterial SSU rRNA". It matches the Rfam family "Bacterial small subunit ribosomal RNA", at positions 929 to 1532 of the family's 1533-position model. The record is from RNAcentral.